AUGGCUGGUGAAGAGUCCCACUGGAUUGGAACUCUUCGACCAAGAGUCCUAAUGCUCAGGGACUCUGAGUCCUAUGUGUCUGGGACUCUGUGAUCGAGAAUCAGGAUUCUCUGAUCAUGAGUUCUACACAUUUUGGAUACCGGGGUCAAGAGUCCUACUGGUUUGGACUUAGUAUUUAUGAGAGAUUUAAUUAGUGAUUUGAUUGCUAAUUAACUCAAUUUGAUUGAGUAAUUAUUUUUGGAUCAAGUCAAAUUGAAUUGGAUUCAGUUGGUUUUGACCCGAUUAGGUUAAGAGUUGACCUAAUCGUCAAGGUG
RNAcentral lists this long non-coding RNA (314 nucleotides) under Elaeis guineensis (African oil palm). RNAcentral describes it as "long non-coding RNA (EGUI_LNC079862)". The record is from RNAcentral. Lineage: Eukaryota; Viridiplantae; Streptophyta; Magnoliopsida; Arecales; Arecaceae.